GACAGAGGGGGCAAGCGUUGCUCGGAAUCACUGGGCGUAAAGGGCGCGUAGGCGGGAUGGCAAGUCAGUCGUGAAAUCGCCGGGCUCAACCCGGCGGCGUCGGCCGAAACUGGGUUUCUUGAGGGAGGCAGAGGAGUCUGGAAUUCCCGGUGUAGCGGUGAAAUGUGUAGAGAUCGGGAGGAACACCGGUGGCGAAGGCGGGACUCUGGGCCUACCCUGACGCUGAGGCGCGAAGGCGUGGGGAGCAAACGGG
This 253-nucleotide ribosomal RNA is filed under the name uncultured bacterium. Its description in RNAcentral is "partial 16S ribosomal RNA". It matches the Rfam family "Bacterial small subunit ribosomal RNA", at positions 524 to 776 of the family's 1533-position model. The record is from RNAcentral.